Molecule: long non-coding RNA, 211 nt
Filed under: Capsicum annuum
Lineage: Eukaryota; Viridiplantae; Streptophyta; Magnoliopsida; Solanales; Solanaceae
Description: long non-coding RNA (CANN_LNC006614)
Source: RNAcentral
UCACACUAAAUGUUUAAAUUAACCCAUAUUUGCCUAACCCCUUCUAAAAUUCAGCUCAAAAUCUAAUUUUGAGCAUCUUAUAAACCACAAAACUUGAAAUUAACUAUAUUAGCCAAACCCAUUCUAAAACUCUGCUCAAAUCUAAUUUUGAGCUCUGCUCAAAUCUAAUUUUGAGCAUCUCACAAACCACUAAAGCUGAAUCCAAACCCCU